This 460-nucleotide ribosomal RNA is filed under the name uncultured bacterium. RNAcentral describes it as "partial 16S ribosomal RNA". It matches the Rfam family "Bacterial small subunit ribosomal RNA", at positions 338 to 795 of the family's 1533-position model. The record is from RNAcentral.
CCUACGUGUGGCAGCAGUGAGGAAUAUUGGUCAAUGGGCGCGAGCCUGAACCAGCCAAGUAGCGUGAAGGAUGACUGCCCUACGGGUUGUAAACUUCUUUUAUAAAGGAAUAAAGUGAGGCACGUGUGCCUUUUUAUAUUUACUUUAUGAAUAAGGAUCGGCUAACUCCGUGCCAGCAGCCGCGGUAAGACGGAGGAUCCGAGCGUUAUCCGGAUUUAUGGGGUUUAAAGGGAGCGUAGAUGGGUUGUUGAGUCAGUUGUGAAAGUUUGCGGCGUAAACGUAAAAUUGAAAUUGAUACUGGAAGCCUUGAGUACAGUUGAGGUAGGCGGAAUUCGUGGUGUAGCGGUGAAAUGCUUAGAUAUCACGAAGAACUCCGAUUGCGAAGGCAGCCUACUAAACUGCCACUGACAUUGAUGCUCGAAAGUGUGGGUAUCAAACAGGAUUAGAUACACCUGUAGUC